AGUCGGUGAGGUAACCUUUUAGGAGCCAGCCGCCUAAGGUGGGAUAGAUGAUUGGGGUGAAGUCGUAACAAGGUAGCCGUAUCGGAAGGUGCGGCUGGAUCACCUCCUUU
This 110-nucleotide ribosomal RNA is filed under the name Streptococcus suis. RNAcentral describes it as "partial 16S ribosomal RNA". It matches the Rfam family "Bacterial small subunit ribosomal RNA", at positions 1425 to 1533 of the family's 1533-position model. Lineage: Bacteria; Bacillati; Bacillota; Bacilli; Lactobacillales; Streptococcaceae. The record is from RNAcentral.